UUUAUCUCACUUUUUUAAGCUUUAAAAAAUCAAAAAUUUGGGGAAAUGUUUAGUAUCGCGCCGGUUUAGUAUCGUUUAUGGAGAUAAACAGAGGGGGGCCUACCGCCCUCACGCCCCCUUAUCGGAAAGAGGAAGGUUCGAACUUUUAAAUAAACCCCCCCUCGACCCCCUAGAGCCACUAUAGACCUGUAGGGAGCCCUUUGGUGUUUUUGCUCAUUUUUCCAUACAAACUGAAACCAAUGCAACCCAGCCAACAUUUUUGUAUGGACAAUAAUUCAAAAUAAGGAAACCGAAAAUGUUUCAGUGCAAUGUAUAUACAUAUUUAAUUGCAUCUAUUAAUGGUACAAAUUAUCUAUUAAUGCUACAAAAAAUAACCCUGGUCGGUCCAGGUGUAUCAGAUUUUUUUCGCAUAGAACACCUUUUCGUGUUGGCGGCCUUCGGCCGCGCUUCAAAAAAAAUAACACUGGUCGGUCCAACACCCGGGUGUAUCAGAUUUUUUUCGCAUAGAACUCCUUUUUGCGUGGGCGGCCUUCGGCCGCGCUUCAAAAAAAAUAACCCUGGUCGGUCCAACACCGGGGUGUAUCAGAUUUUUUUCGCAUAGAACUCCUUUUUGCGUUGGCGGCUUUCGGCCGCGCUUCAAAAAAAAUAUCCUUGGUCGGUCCAACACCCGGGUGUAUCAGAUUUUUUUCGCAUAGAACACCUUUUGGCGUUUGCGGCCUUCGGCCGCGCUUUAAAAAAAUAACCCUGGCCGGUCCAACACCGGCUACGCCAUCCACAGUAUUUUAGCAUUGAACACCUUUUCGCGUUCACUUCAUACAUUUAUUGCUAACUGGGUUUAAUUUAUUCCCUUUUGUUCGUGCUUUCUCGGUAAUUUGACAAUUGAAAUUAGGCAGUACUUUUGGUUUUUCGCAUUAUUGAACUCAAUGCAGAAAAAGGUGUAUUUUAUUUAAAGAUUUACAAAGAAAUUAACAAUCAAAAGUAAUUAAAAACAUUACUAGUGGUUUUUAUAAUUCAUAAGUAAUAUAUGUGCGUGAAAAUGUAUCCAUAAUUGGUUUGGUACAAUGCACAACAGCAUACAUUCGUGUUUAAAAUUAACCGGCGGGAUACUAAACCCAACCCAAAAUUUGAACUUUUUAGACGACAAUAGCUAUUGGAAAACUAUGGAUGAAUUGAAUAAAAGUCUUACAAUUAUCUUAUCGAACCAUCGCAGAAAUUAUCAAAAUGUGCCUAAGUGUUUGGAAUGGAGGACUAAUGUUCUUGACUAUUUAGACGAAGGACGUUACCAACAAAUGCUCCGAGUCUCUAGAGAUCAAUUUGCGUCGCUAUUGUCCUUGAUCAAAGAUAGUGCACAGUUUAACAAUGCUCAAUCCACUAGGCAAUUUUCAGUAGAACUACAGUUAGCUAUAACCUUAUAUCGUUUGGAUUCAUCGGGUGAAAGUGCGGCGAUUCGGAAAGAAGCUACAAUGUUGGGUGUAGGAGACAACUUUUUGUCAACUUUGGAGUUAAAAUCUAGAUAUAUCACUUGGCCUGAUACCAAUGAAAGACAAGAUAUCGUCAAAACAACGUACAAUGAGCUGCCGCAUUGUAUAGGGUAUAUUGAUGGUACAGAAUUGAAACUUGCAGAAGCACCAGUUGUUAACCAUUCGGCUUAUUUUUCAAAAAGCCGAAUCUAUUCCAUAAAGGCACAAGUUGUAUGCGAUUGCCAGUUAAGGAUUCGGCAUGUAGUAGCGGGACACUUUGGUAGUGUACACGAUUCUCGCAUGUUUCGUACUAGUGCUCUCUCCACUCAAGAAGGCUCACUUUUUUCUUCUCAAUGGUUAGCAGGAGAUUCUGCUUAUCCAUUGCUGAGCACUCUUAUCACGCCAUUUCGAACAAAUUCACAACAAAUGGACUAUUCAAAGCGUAAAGCAUUCAACUUGCGUCAUAGCAGAUAUCGCGUGAGGAUAGAACAUUGCUUUGGGAUUCUAAAAGAACGCUUUGGCAGCCUCAAAGAAUUAAGAAUACGUAUUCAGGAUGAACAAAAUCAUAUUCUAUGUUCCAACUGGAUUAUUGUUUGCUGUAUAUUGCAUAACAUCUUCCGAGCUACUUCUAAUGAUAUUGAUCGAUAAUGAUAACGACGAAGAAUCAGAUGAAUUUCCUUCACAUGAAAAUGGCCGGCGAAUAACUGAGGCAGAAGCCAAGCGCAUAUCUUUGUACACAAUAAUGUUUGGUGUUCAGUAAAACGAUGGCUGGCAGAAAAAAAGCGUUCAGGGUGGACUUUAAAGAAUGAGUUGGAGCUGCUGGAAAAGUGGGAGGCAUGUUCCCACGACCUCCGGCGUGCAAAGCGAAAAGAUCACUUAAAGACUUGGGCCUGCCUUUUCGUUUUUCGCUUUGUAAAGAUGCUGUACCUCUAAAACGUUGAAUAAUACUCCGUAUGGUAUAUCGGCUUCUGUCCACCAUUUCACCAACCUCAGCUAAAUCGUACGCGUACGCCCUGAUUAUGCAAAUAUAAUAUUAUUUUCCGUUGAGAUUCGUUGGUUUCACAUUUUUUGCUGCCCAUUUUAAUAAAAUUGAAGCAAAUUUAACUAUAAAAUAAACGCACACUGAGUUUUGAAGUUUGAUUCUUUACAACAACACAUUUGCUUAUGUAUAAUUAACGGUACUUUAAAAAAGAGUAGCCAUAAAUAAUAAAAAUCAAACUAAGUUGCCUGAUUUUAUAGGGUGUGCCAAUACUUUUGUUUCGCUAUAAUUAGUACUUUUUUUCUUUUAUAAUUACUAUUAAAUAAAUAUAUGAGAUAAUUAAAUGAAUUAAAGGAAAUAUAAUUGAUAAUUACUUGUCCUAACUAAGGAUUUUACUUUGGUAUACAAAACAUAUUUUAUAAGUGGUAAACAAGAGUGCUAAAGUCAAGGUAUCUUGCUGUACAAAUACACCGCCGAGGAAAUUCACUGCAACGUGAAACACAUGACAAAGAAAUACAGAGAGGAGAAAACCAAAAUUGGCCCUUCUGGUGGUAGUCCCUCGCCUUGGAGGCAUUAUAAUGCUGUGCAUCGCAUAGUAGGGCGUACUGCCGUUAAUACGGCUUUGUACAUAGAGAUAUAUUCCGAGGGAUGGGCACCAUCACAAUCAAACAAGCAUCACAAAAUGAGAUUGUGUUAGUGCGCUUACUGUGGGACCAAGCGUACCAGCAACCAAAAAUAAUCAGUCUGCUUGCAGAUGUCGAACGAGCAGGUCUAUGUCGCACGAAGCCGCAAUGCUACGAAUACGUAUGUAUAUACAUAUGCACAUUUUUAAGAAUAUGUGCAUAAACCAUUGAAUAUAAAAUAUAAUUAUUUUUCUUUUCAAGCAAGAAUAAAAUUUAAGUUAUUAGUUAAUUAUAAAUUAGUAAUCUAAUUCAUUUAAAAACUUAAAAAUAAAUUAAAUUUGUAUAUGAAAAGAAAAUAUAAAUCUAUAUUUGAAUUCAUCGAAUAUUUUAAAUAUAUAACGAAACUUCAAUAAAGUUAAAGCUAUUAGAAAAUGAAAGCUAUUAUAAUAUGAAAUAUUAUGAAUACACAUUUCAAGAGGUCAGUUAAUUUCAAACAAUUAUCCGAGUGUCAAAAAAAAAAAGUUCAUUCUGUAAUAAAUUUAAGAAGGUCGUCAUAAUUUAUAUCAAAAUUUGCUACCUUUAUUCUAAGCAGGUCUUCUAAAUGUUUGUCUGAAAGCCUUGUUCUAUAGGAAUUCUUUAUGUAUACCAUAGCAGAAAACGCAGAUUCGCAAAUAUCGGGUGAUUUUUUAAGAGCUUGAUAACUUUUUAAAAAAAAAAAACGCAUAAAAUUUGCAAAAUCUCAUCGGUUCUUUAUUUGAAACGUUAGAUUGGUUCAUGACAUUUACUUUUUGAAGAUAAUUUCAUUUAAAUGUUGACUCAUGUGGUUUCAACAAGAUGGCGCUACAUGCCACACAGCUCGCGAUUCUAUGGCCAUUUUGAGGGAAAACUUCGGAGAACAAUUCAUCUCAAGAAAUGGACCCGUAAGUUGGCCACCAAGAUCAUGCGAUUUAACGCCUUUAGACUAUUUUUUGUGGGGCUACGUCAAGUCUAAAGUCUACAGAAAUAAGCCAGCAACUAUUCCAGCUUUGGAAGACAACAUUUCCGAAGAAAUUCGGGCUAUUCCGGCCGAAAUGCUCGAAAAAGUUGCCCAAAAUUGGACUUUCCGAAUGGACCACCUAAGACGCAGCCGCGGUCAACAUUUAAAUGAAAUUAUCUUCAAAAAGUAAAUGUCAUGAACCAAUCUAACGUUUCAAAUAAAGAACCGAUGAGAUUUUGCAAA
This is an RNA transcript of Bactrocera neohumeralis, 4281 nucleotides long. RefSeq lists it as uncharacterized. The transcript is spliced from 5 exons. The record is from RefSeq and is a predicted model, not a curated record. Lineage: Eukaryota; Metazoa; Arthropoda; Insecta; Diptera; Tephritidae.